CAGCAGCCGCGGUAAUACGGAGGGUGCAAGCGUUAAUCGGAAUUACUGGGCGUAAAGCGCACGCAGGCGGUCUGACAAGUCAGAUGUGAAAUCCCCGGGCUUAACCUGGGAACUGCAUUUGAAACUGUCAGGCUGGAGUCUUGUAGAGGGGGGUGGAAUUCCAGGUGUAGCGGUGAAAUGCGUAGAGAUCUGGAGGAAUACCGGUGGCGAAGGCGGCCCCCUGGACAAAGACUGACGCUCAGGUGCGAAAGCGUGGGGAGCAAACAGGAUUAGAUACCCGAGUAGUCCCUGUCUCUUAUAU
RNAcentral lists this ribosomal RNA (301 nucleotides) under uncultured bacterium. Its description in RNAcentral is "partial 16S ribosomal RNA". It matches the Rfam family "Bacterial small subunit ribosomal RNA", at positions 509 to 809 of the family's 1533-position model. The record is from RNAcentral.